UCCUACGGGAGGCAGCAGUGGGGAAUAUUGGACAAUGGAGGCAACUCUGAUCCAGCAAUGCCGCGUGUGUGAUGAAGGCCCUAGGGUUGUAAAGCACUUUCAACGGUGAAGAUGAUGACGGUAGCCGUAGAAGAAGCCCCGGCUAACUUCGUGCCAGCAGCCGCGGUAAU
This 170-nucleotide ribosomal RNA is filed under the name uncultured Alphaproteobacteria bacterium. RNAcentral describes it as "partial 16S ribosomal RNA". It matches the Rfam family "Bacterial small subunit ribosomal RNA", at positions 337 to 524 of the family's 1533-position model. The record is from RNAcentral. Lineage: Bacteria; Pseudomonadati; Pseudomonadota; Alphaproteobacteria.